This 253-nucleotide ribosomal RNA is filed under the name uncultured bacterium. RNAcentral describes it as "partial 16S ribosomal RNA". It matches the Rfam family "Bacterial small subunit ribosomal RNA", at positions 524 to 776 of the family's 1533-position model. The record is from RNAcentral.
UACAGAGGUCUCAAGCGUUGUUCGGAUUCAUUGGGCGUAAAGGGUGCGUAGGCGGCGCGGUAAGUCGGGUGUGAAAUCUCGGAGCUUAACUCCGAAACUGCAUUCGAUACUGCGGUGCUUGAGGACUGGAGGGGAGACUGGAAUUCAUGGUGUAGCAGUGAAAUGCGUAGAGAUCAUGAGGAAGACCAGUGGCGAAGGCGGGUCUCUGGACAGUUCCUGACACUGAGACACGAAGGCCAGGGGAGCAAACGGG